GACGAACGCUGGCGGCGUGCCUAAUACAUGCAAGUGGGACGCAAGGAAACACACUGUGCUUGCACACCGUGUUUUCUUGAGUCGCGAACGGGUGAGUAACGCGUAGGUAACCUGCCUAUUAGCGGGGGAUAACUAUUGGAAACGCUAGCUAAUACCGCAUAAUAUUAAUUAUUGCUUGAUAAUUGAUUUAAAGAUGCAAGCGCAUCACUAGUAGAUGGACCUGCGUUGUAUUAGCUAGUUGGUAAGGUAAGAGCUUACCAAGGCGACGAUACAUAGCCGACAUGAGAGGGUGAUCAGCCACAAUGGGACUGAGACACGGCCCAGACUCCUACGGGAGGCAGCAGUAGGGAAUCUUCGGCAAUGGACGAAAGUCUGACCGAGCAACGCCGCGGGAGGGAAGAAGGUUUUCGGAUCGUAAAGCUCUGUUGUAAGGCAAGAACGUGUGUGAGAGUGGAAAGUUCACACAGUGACGGUAGCUUACCAGAAAGGGACGGCUAACUACGUG
RNAcentral lists this ribosomal RNA (505 nucleotides) under uncultured bacterium. RNAcentral describes it as "partial 16S ribosomal RNA". It matches the Rfam family "Bacterial small subunit ribosomal RNA", at positions 28 to 507 of the family's 1533-position model. The record is from RNAcentral.